UUUUCCUACGGGACGCAGCAGUGGGGAAUAUUGCACAAUGGGGGAAACCCUGAUGCAGCGACGCCGCGUGAGUGAAGAAGUAUUUCGGUAUGUAAAGCUCUCUCAGCAGGGAAGAAAAAAGACGGUACCUGACUAAGAAGCCCCGGCUAACUACGUGCCAGCAGCCGCGGUAAUACGUAGGGGGCAAGCGUUAUCCGGAUUUACUGGGUGUAAAGGGAGCGUAGACGGUAUGGCAAGUCUGAAGUGAAAGCCCAGGGCUUAACCCUGGGACUGCUUUGGAAACUGUUAGACUAGAGUGCUGGAGG
Molecule: ribosomal RNA, 305 nt
Filed under: uncultured bacterium
Lineage: Bacteria
Description: bacterial SSU rRNA
Rfam family: Bacterial small subunit ribosomal RNA
Source: RNAcentral